AUUGAACGCUGGCGGCAUGCCUAACACAUGCAAGUCGAGCGGUUGAAUCCUGCUUGCUCCUGGCUUCAGCUGCGGACGGGUGAUGAAGGCCUAGUAAUCUGCCUGUUAGUAAGGUAUAACGUCCGGAGACGGGCGCUAAUACCACAUACGCUCUUACCGAGUAAGAGUUUGUUCUUCGUACCUCACGCGAUCAGAGCAGCCUAGGGCGGAUUAGCUAGUUGGUGGGGUAAUGGCCUACCAAGGCGACGAUCCGUAACUGGUCUGAGAGGAUGAUCAGUCACACUGGAACUGAGACACGGUCCAGACUCCUACGGGAGGCAGCAGUGGGGAAUAUUCGACAAAGGGCGAAAGCCUGAUCCAGCAACGCCGCGUGUGUGAAGAAGGUCUUCGGAUUGUAAAGCACUUUAAGUUGGGAGGAAGGGCAGUAAGAUAAUCUCUUGCUGUUUUGACGUUACCAACAGAAUAAGCAACGGCUAACUUCGUG
RNAcentral lists this ribosomal RNA (484 nucleotides) under uncultured bacterium. RNAcentral describes it as "partial 16S ribosomal RNA". It matches the Rfam family "Bacterial small subunit ribosomal RNA", at positions 30 to 507 of the family's 1533-position model. The record is from RNAcentral.